RNAcentral lists this ribosomal RNA (445 nucleotides) under uncultured bacterium. Its description in RNAcentral is "partial 16S ribosomal RNA". It matches the Rfam family "Bacterial small subunit ribosomal RNA", at positions 354 to 796 of the family's 1533-position model. The record is from RNAcentral.
GUGAGGAAUAUUGGUCAAUGGGCGAGAGCCUGAACCAGCCAAGUCGCGUGAAGGAAGAAGGAUCUAUGGUUCGUAAACUUCUUUUGCAGGGGAAUAAAGUGCAGGACGUGUCCUGUUUUGUAUGUACCCUGAGAAUAAGGAUCGGCUAACUCCGUGCCAGCAGCCGCGGUAAUACGGAGGAUCCGAGCGUUAUCCGGAUUUAUUGGGUUUAAUGGGUGCGUAGGUGGUUUGAUAAGUCAGCGGUGAAAGUUUGCAGCUUAACUGUAAAAAUGCCGUUGAAACUGUCGGACUUGAGUGUAAAUGAGGUAGGCGGAAUGCGUGGUGUAGCGGUGAAAUGCAUAGAUAUCACGCAGAACUCCGAUUGCGAAGGCAGCUUACUAAGCUACAACUGACACUGAAGCACGAAAGCGUGGGGAUCAAACAGGAUUAGAUACCCUAGUAGUCC